GAAAGAUUUGGGAAUCUUUUGGAGUGGGUGGGAUGGAAAAAUAUUGUUUUUAUUUUUUUUCUAAAGGAAAAAAGAUGAGAAUUGAGAUUUUUCCUAUUCCACCCAUGCCAAUGGCUUCCAGUCAUUUACUC
This 131-nucleotide microRNA precursor is filed under the name Solanum corneliomulleri. RNAcentral's name for it is "Solanum corneliomuelleri pre-miR482g". Lineage: Eukaryota; Viridiplantae; Streptophyta; Magnoliopsida; Solanales; Solanaceae. The record is from RNAcentral.